This 442-nucleotide ribosomal RNA is filed under the name uncultured bacterium. RNAcentral's name for it is "partial 16S ribosomal RNA". It matches the Rfam family "Bacterial small subunit ribosomal RNA", at positions 338 to 795 of the family's 1533-position model. The record is from RNAcentral.
CCUACGGGGAGCAGCAGUAGGGAAUCUUUCACAAUGGGCGAAAGCCUGAUGGAGCAACGCCGCGUGCAGGAUGAAGGCCUUCGGGUUGUAAACUGCUUUUAUAAGCGAGAAAUAUGAUGGUAACUUAUGAAUAAGGAUCGGCUAACUACGUGCCAGCAGCCGCGGUCAUACGUAGGAUCCGAGCAUUAUCCGGAGUGACUGGGUGUAAAGAGUUGCGUAGGUGGCAUAAUAAGUAGCUAGUGAAAUCUGGUGGCUCAACCAUUCAGACUAUUAGCUAAACUGUUAAGCUCGAGACCGUUAGGGGUAACUGGAAUUUCUAGUGUAGGAGUGAAAUCCGUAGAUAUUAGAAGGAACACCAAUAGCGUAGGCAGGUUGCUGGGACGGGUCUGACACUAAGGCACGAAAGCGUAGGGAGCAAACGGGAUUAGAUACCCGUGUAGUC